UGUACAUGGGGAGGGCAAACCAACCACUUGUCCACCAGCAGACUGAAGCUUUUUAUUCACGUUUUAGAUGGAUUUAAUAUAACUGUAUAAAAUGUAUUUUUUAUUGAUCACAGUGAUGAUAAGCCCUAUAAGCCAUGCUAAUAACAUCACACAAGCACUCUAACCUUCAUUUUUCUUUUUUCUUUCAGACUGUAUCUUAAAGGACAGAACGAAGGAGGAGGAGCCAGGUGCAUGUUCAAAGCCAUCUGUCGCCUCACUUAAGGAAUCAAAGGACUGGUCUCUGCUGCAGUGUGAAGUUAAAGGAGCUUCUCCUCGACCUAAAGUGGAGUGGAUGGACAGUUCUGGAAACAUCCUUCAUGCUAAAGAACCACAGGUCACAGAAAGAGGAGGCAGCUACGACAUCAUCCUCAACACCACUGUGACCAAGACCGACCACUACAGCUGUGUGCUCACACAGAAUGAGAUCUGUCAUCAGAUUUCCUCUAAGAUCUCUGUGUACAUCCACGGUUCUUCACCUGGAUAUCGUGAUAUCUUUGGUCUGAGAAUUACUUUGGUUGGUUUAGUUUUUGUGGCUGUUGUGCUGGGUUUUGCAUAAAGCGUCACUGUAUAAAUCGUAAAAAGGUUCAAAUGCAGAUUCAGUCUUCCAGUGGACUCUUGCAGCCAUCUAAAACAACUCUGUGAAGUAUGUGUGACCUUAAGUAUUACUGGAUUACAUGGAGGGCAGAGGGGUGGCUCUGAAUCAAGUUCAACAUAAAGUUAGAGAGUAUUUAGAGCUGUAUUGGGCUUCAUGAAAGUGUUCAUCAACUUGUUAACUCAGGCUUUCUGCUUCAGGCUCUGAGCAUCGACGCUUCUUCUGCACAAAAUGGAAUGAUCACAGGCUGUCUGCUUCUGUCAGUUUAUAUAUAACUUUAGUUUGAAGUUGUAACGUUUUUUUAUUUUAUUGUUGUGUCACAUA
This is a long non-coding RNA of Labrus bergylta (ballan wrasse), 955 nucleotides long. RefSeq lists it as uncharacterized. Lineage: Eukaryota; Metazoa; Chordata; Actinopteri; Labriformes; Labridae. The record is from RefSeq and is a predicted model, not a curated record.